UUUUUUUAUUUUAUUUUUUACCCGCAGACGACGCUGCGGCGUGCCUAAUACAUGCAAGUCGAACGCUUCUUUUUCCACCGGAGCUUGCUCCACCGGAAAAAAGAGGAGUGGCGAACGGGUGAGUAACACGUGGGUAACCUGCCCAUCAGAAGGGGAUAACACUUGGAAACAGGUGCUAAUACCGUAUAACAAUCAAAACCGCAUGGUUUUGAUUUGAAAGGCGCUUUCGGGUGUCGCUGAUGGAUGGACCCGCGGUGCAUUAGCUAGUUGGUGAGGUAACGGCUCACCAAGGCCACGAUGCAUAGCCGACCUGAGAGGGUGAUCGGCCACAUUGGGACUGAGACACGGCCCAAACUCCUACGGGAGGCAGCAGUAGGGAAUCUUCGGCAAUGGACGAAAGUCUGACCGAGCAACGCCGCGUGAGUGAAGAAGGUUUUCGGAUCGUAAAACUCUGUUGUUAGAGAAGAACAAGGAUGAGAGUAACUGUUCAUCCCUUGACGGUAUCUAACCAGAAAGCCACGGCUAACUACGUGCCAGCAGCCGCGGUAAUACGUAGGUGGCAAGCGUUGUCCGGAUUUAUUGGGCGUAAAGCGAGCGCAGGCGGUUUCUUAAGUCUGAUGUGAAAGCCCCCGGCUCAACCGGGGAGGGUCAUUGGAAACUGGGAGACUUGAGUGCAGAAGAGGAGAGUGGAAUUCCAUGUGUAGCGGUGAAAUGCGUAGAUAUAUGGAGGAACACCAGUGGCGAAGGCGGCUCUCUGGUCUGUAACUGACGCUGAGGCUCGAAAGCGUGGGGAGCAAACAGGAUUAGAUACCCUGGUAGUCCACGCCGUAAACGAUGAGUGCUAAGUGUUGGAGGGUUUCCGCCCUUCAGUGCUGCAGCUAACGCAUUAAGCACUCCGCCUGGAGCGC
This 908-nucleotide ribosomal RNA is filed under the name Enterococcus faecium. Its description in RNAcentral is "bacterial SSU rRNA". It matches the Rfam family "Bacterial small subunit ribosomal RNA", at positions 1 to 881 of the family's 1533-position model. The record is from RNAcentral. Lineage: Bacteria; Bacillati; Bacillota; Bacilli; Lactobacillales; Enterococcaceae.